GACGAACGCUGGCGGCGUGCUUAACACAUGCAAGUCGAACGGAAAGGCCCUGCUUUUGUGGGGUGCUCGAGUGGCGAACGGGUGAGUAACACGUGAGUAACCUGCCCUUGACUUUGGGAUAACUUCAGGAAACUGGGGCCAAUACCGGAUAGGAGCUCCUGCUGCAUGGUGGGGGUUGGAAAGUUUCGGCGGUUGGGGAUGGACUCGCGGCUUAUCAGCUCGUUGGUGGGGUAGUGGCUUACCAAGGCUUUGACGGGUAGCCGGCCUGAGAGGGUGACCGGCCACAUUGGGACUGAGGUACGACCCAGACUGCUACGGGAGGCAGCAGUGGGGAAUAUUGCGCAAUGGGCGGAAGCCUGAUGCAGCAACGCCGCGAGCGGGAAGACGGCCUUCGGGUUGUAAACCGCUUUCGCCUGUGACGAAGCGUGAGUGACGGUAAUGGGUAAAGAAGCACCGGCUAACUACGUG
Molecule: ribosomal RNA, 468 nt
Filed under: uncultured bacterium
Lineage: Bacteria
Description: partial 16S ribosomal RNA
Rfam family: Bacterial small subunit ribosomal RNA
Source: RNAcentral